AUAUCAUAAUGUAUAAAAAGAAAAAGAAAAGAUUAUUGUGAGGGAAAUUGAUCUAGCGUCGAUGGAAUCGGUAGAAUGGGAAUGUGAUGAAGAAAAGAUUUCUGAGAAAGAAGGGUGGUUGGUAGUUGGGAAAGUUCUACUUGGCACAAAGAAAUGCUCUUAUACAACUUGACAUAGUGCGGAAGCGAUACUAAAUACCAUUUUAGCAUAUAUUCUUAAAAACUCAAAAAAGAGGGUUCUCACGAAAGAGAAAAGUAUUUUAGUUGAGAAAAUAAGUUGAAUAUUAUUGAUGAAGUUGUUGAAAAGAAACAAGCAUAAUACGUCUAUUUAUACUAGUUGUAAUUGAUCGUAAUCCUAGUAAACUUAUGAUUCCUUCUAAAAUAAGUAAUAUGGCUUAAACAAGAAAGUGUAAACAAAAUUUAAUUAAACUAAAAUUACAAAUAUAACUCAAAUAUGUUUUCUAAAAUAAGAUAAAUACUAAUAAAAUACUAAAUAUUCAAUUGAAAUUUCUAAUAUAUUCUACUUCCAUAUGCUUCCUGUGUACGUCAUA
Molecule: long non-coding RNA, 550 nt
Filed under: Citrus x clementina
Lineage: Eukaryota; Viridiplantae; Streptophyta; Magnoliopsida; Sapindales; Rutaceae
Description: Citrus clementina (C. clementina) long non-coding RNA (CCLE_LNC000641)
Source: RNAcentral